This 253-nucleotide ribosomal RNA is filed under the name uncultured bacterium. RNAcentral's name for it is "partial 16S ribosomal RNA". It matches the Rfam family "Bacterial small subunit ribosomal RNA", at positions 524 to 776 of the family's 1533-position model. The record is from RNAcentral.
UACGUAGGCAGCAAGCGUUGUUCGGAGUUACUGGGCGUAACGGGUGUGUAGGCGGUUUUUUAAGUUUGGUGUGAAAUCUCCCGGCUCAACUGGGAGGGUGCGCCGAAUACUGAAAGACUAGAGUGCGGGAGAGGAAAGUGGAAUUCCUGGUGUAGCGGUGAAAUGCGUAGAUAUCAGGAGGAACACCGGUGGUGUAGACGGCUUACUGGACACAUAUUGACGCUGAGGUGCGAAAGCGCGGGGAGCAAACAGG